This 433-nucleotide ribosomal RNA is filed under the name uncultured bacterium. Its description in RNAcentral is "partial 16S ribosomal RNA". It matches the Rfam family "Bacterial small subunit ribosomal RNA", at positions 29 to 507 of the family's 1533-position model. The record is from RNAcentral.
AACGAACGCUGGCGGCAUGCCUAACACAUGCAAGUCGAACGAAACCUUCGGGUCUAGUGGCGCACGGGUGCGUAACGCGUGGGAACCUUCCCUUAGGGUCGGAAUAACUCCCCGAAAGGGGUGCUAAUACCGGAUAAUGUCUUCGGACCAAAGAUUUAUCGCCUUUGGAUGGGCCCGCGUUGGAUUAGCUAGUUGGUAGGGUAAAAGCAUACCAAGGCGACGAUCCAUAGCUUGUCUGAGAGGAUGAUCAGCCACACUGGGACUGAGACACGGCCCAGAAUCCUACGGGAGGCAGCAGUGGGGAAUAUUGGACCAUGGGCGAAAGCCUGAUCCAGCACUGCCGCGUGAGUGAUGAAGGCCUUAGGGUUGUAAAGCUCUUUUACCCGGGAUGAUAAUGACAGUACCGGGAGAAUAAGCUACGGCUAACUCCGUG